GGUUUUAUAGUUUAUUUAAAAAUUUUAAAUUGCAAAUUUAAAGAAAAAAUUUUUUAAGACUU
RNAcentral lists this transfer RNA (62 nucleotides) under Reticulinasus faini. RNAcentral describes it as "tRNA-Cys". Lineage: Eukaryota; Metazoa; Arthropoda; Arachnida; Ixodida; Argasidae. The record is from RNAcentral.